GGGGGCGUCUGCUAGCUUGGUCUAGGCUCCGUGGCUUGGGCCCACGAGACCUGGGUUCAAAUCCCAGCGCCCCCA
This 75-nucleotide transfer RNA is filed under the name Candidatus Bathyarchaeota archaeon. Its description in RNAcentral is "tRNA-Pro". It matches the Rfam family "tRNA". Rfam says of the family: Transfer RNA (tRNA) molecules are approximately 80 nucleotides in length. Their secondary structure includes four short double-helical elements and three loops (D, anti-codon, and T loops). Lineage: Archaea; Thermoproteati; Candidatus Bathyarchaeota. The record is from RNAcentral. RNAcentral also lists the same sequence under 1 other name.